RNAcentral lists this ribosomal RNA (389 nucleotides) under Prorocentrum sp. RNAcentral's name for it is "partial small subunit ribosomal RNA". It matches the Rfam family "Eukaryotic small subunit ribosomal RNA", at positions 582 to 975 of the family's 1831-position model. Lineage: Eukaryota; Dinophyceae; Prorocentrales; Prorocentraceae. The record is from RNAcentral.
AUUCCAGCUCCAAUAGCGUAUAUUAAAGUUGUUGCGGUUAAAAAGCUCGUAGUUGGAUUUCUGCCGAGGACGACCGGUCCGCCCUCUGGGUGAGUAUCUGGCUCGGCCUGGGCAUCUUCUUGGAGAACGUAUCUGCACUUGACUGUGUGGUGCGGUAUCCAGGACUUUUACUUUGAGGAAAUUAGAGUGUUUCAAGCAGGCUUACGCCUUGAAUACAUUAGCAUGGAAUAAUAAGAUAGGACCUCGGUUCUAUUUUGUUGGUUUCUAGAGCUGAGGUAAUGAUUAAUAGGGAUAGUCAGGGGCACUCGUAUUCCGCCGAGAGAGGUGAAAUUCUCAGACCAGCGGAAGACGAACCACUGCGAAAGCAUUUGCCAGGGAUGUUUUCAUUG